GAGGGAAAGGGUCUGCACCACAGGGCAGUGGGCGCAGCACUGAGCUUUGCGGAGUGCAAGGAGUGUUUGGACAGUGCUGUCAGACAUAUGAUCUGAUUUUUAUGUGGUCCUGUGUGGAUCAGGAGUUGGACUCUGUGACCAUUAUGGGUCCCUUCCAGUUCAGCGUAUUCUAUGAUUCUCUGACUCUAUGUCACAGUGGUGUUAGCAGUGAGAGAGAGGCACAGAGCUGGUGUUGGUGGGGCCCUCGUGGUUAUCAGGAACAAAUGGCUCUGUUGGCUCCAACAAAGCACUGCUUUGUGCAGCUGCUGCUCUGCAAUAUCGGGGCCUUCAUGGAGCAGUGGAGAUCUGUUGUAGGCAUGCACACAUCCCAGCACCUCUGGUUUAAUGGCGGAGGGCUGAGCUUCUGCAGCUCUGACUAUGGCAAUGAAAUGACGGGUGCCUGGAGCGAGCUGUGUGGCUGUGCUGCCAUGGCACAAACUGCUCUGUUCUCUGGGACGGCCUUUUACUUUUGGCUGGAGGAGGAACCUCGGGUGGCUUCUGCUAAAACAAAUGCUGCUUUGUUUUUUGUUUACUUCAACAGAGGUAUUCACAGUGAUGGUUUAUAAGCCGGGACUGCAAUGAUCGCACCCCUUUGUGCCAGGCACAGUCUCAGCUGCUGACACACCCUGACGGCCGCCCCAGGCUGACUAGGAGCCGGCUCCUUCCCUGUGCAGUCCCACAACAGGGAGGAUCGGACAAAUUUACAUCCCCCUUGGCCCUCUUCUCCCUCCCACUGUGGGCCAAACGCAGUGCAGAAGACCUGGGAAGCAGCCCAAGUUCAAGCACUGACAUUCAGGUCUUCAGUUCCUUGUUUUCCUGUUCCAUAAGUGGAGAGUCGGUCUCUGAUGUUUCACUUUUGGACAUGUUUUCAGCAUUUGACAACUGCUUUGGUAACCUUUAGACAUACAUUCAGGUAUGCACAGCAUGCACAGACUCUCAUUUCCGUAUCACCAUUGCAGCAGCUGGCGAAGCUCGCUGCCCUCAUACUUAUUCCAGCAAAGAAAACUUCCUCACUUUCGCUGCUACCACUGAACAGGGAAAUAUGAAGGGCCUUACAGCUACAAAGCACUUUUUUCUCCCUUUAUGUGCUGUUUUCUUGCCGAGUUUGCAACACUGUUUUUUGCUUCUUGCAACUCAGAAUUCCUGCUCAGGUGGACACUGCUCUGAUCUACUUCUAUUACCCAUCAUCCACUCACACCAUCUCUUGUGUAUUCAGAUUCCACUGACAAUUGGGGUAGGACUCUGUCAUAGUUUUUGCUGGAGUCUCUGUUAGUUGUUAUUGCUGUUGUUGUUUUUAAACAGUAUUUUCCAAGUAAAACCCACAUACAGACUGACCCACCUUCCCUGUGAAAUCCACCCUGGUUCUGUACAUCAGUGCUGAACUUGUAUCACCUUUCCAGGCCUUUGGCUUCCCAAAGCACCCAAAGGUCAGGGUGAGAUUUCUGUCUCCUUUGGGCACCUCACAAAUAUUUCACUAUUGCUUGUGUGAAGUCGGUGAACCUGCAGGCACUCUGAGUAUAAACACUUAUUUCUUCAUCACUGGUGCUAUUGGGCAUAGCACACCGCACACACAGCCACGAGGGUAAGAUUCAGGUAUUUAAUGUUGGACUUGUAAAUCCAUGCUGGGAUUUAUGAUGCAUGGCCCAUUUUUCAAGGGGAGAGCAGUCUCACCCACUGCUGCCACAAGGCAGAAUAUGGUGCAGCUGUGCACAGAAGGGCUCAGGGUGCACAGGGUGGCUCACAGCAGCCCGCUCUGGUCACAGAGUGCCUGCUGCUCACUGUCAAGAACCACCUUUUAUUUUGCCCUCUGCAAUGAUGUGCACAUACUGGAGCAAACACAGCUGACAGACUUCAGCUCCUCUCCACAGGACCACAAACCAUUUCUGGGUGAGCACAGCCUCUAUCACCACUGCCAACAAUGAGGCCUGAGGACAUCACAGCCAACAGCGUGAGGUCUGUAGCAGCAGAAUUCCUUCUUCCCUCCAGCCAGCAACUGUGCUGCAGCAAAUCAGUGCCUCACUCCACGGUGGGACCGAGCAGCCCACAACUCCCACAUCCUCAGCACAGCAACCCGCCCUGGGGCUUUGGCAGCACUUCCACAGGUGCUUUAAGGGAUUUAAUUUAGGGAGAACGUGGAUUCAUUGUUUUCCCCCAGGCUCUUCAGCAUGAGCCUUGGCCCUGGAAGGCAGACCGCAUUCCCACAGGUUGUAGUGCCCAGCGCCUUCCCUUUGGGUCAUGCCAAGUAGCCACUGUGGAUCUGGGGUCCAGGCCUUGCUUUACCUGCUGAGGGAGUGAAAGACCCCUUGAGACCACCACAAAGGAGCAUGAGAGCAGAGGGGAGAUUUGACCAAGGAGAUCUCCAACAGGCAGCGGACUGAGGUAUGGAAAAUGUGAAAAGACGGGAAGACUAUUUCUCUUGUCACGGCAGCCCCAUCUAGACUGGGAACAAACACAGACAGAAAGGGCGUUCCCUCAAGAACUGUAAUUGAAUGAGACGUAAAUCACGGCUCACCAAAGUGAGUUAGGUUUGGCUGAUGUACAGAGCUGGGAAGUGAAAGUCACUGGCUGGGUGCCCAAGGGAGGGGAGGAGAUUGGGCACAAGAUAGGCAGCGAAGGGGUGCAGACGGAUAGAAAUGUGAGCAAGUCAGUGCCAACACAACACAUCGCCCUGGGCCCUACUUCUGCCAUGCCAGCAUUGUGAGGUGUGUGGCAGAACUGAAUACACAGCCUGGAACGAAGAGAAGGAGAGACCAGGACCACCGUUCAGUUAUAAGCUUUUUCUUUUUUAGAAUUGAAGCUUACACAGUUAUCUAUGCCCACUAUAUUCAUAAUUACAUUUUAAUAUCUGCAUACAAAAGCUAUGUAAAAAUUAUUUUCUUCCCCCAAAUAUACAAAUUUUCUCUUUAGAUAGUUUAAAACAUUUGUGAUCACAGAUUUUUAAUAUAUUUUAGGCUGAAAAAAUAUUACCAAUCUAGCAUAACUCUUAACACUGCUUGCAAAAAAAUACAUCAUCCAAGGUAAAUUUUUUUGUACUGUACUGCGUGAUGUUUGCCUUACCCUCAGGGCACGAAACCGGUAUAAAAAAUAAUGAACCAAAUAAGCAAAACCCACAAACCUCACAGACAAAGUAAGAAGUCCUCCCACCUAACUUGAUAAAAACAACCAACCAACCAACCCAAGCCACCCUUCUCUUAAAAAAAUAAAAGCCUGAAUAACUAAUGUGAUGUAUUUGUGAGCAAACUCAAACUGAAGAGUGCUAAGGAAGUAGGAAAAGAGCAAAAGAAAUGACAGUAUGUCAGCUAGUUCAUGCCCUGAUACUAUCUCCACCAACAUUAAAUGUGUAAUUAAAUAAAGUGUCCUUUAAUGUUUUACAUUGUGCUCAGUAAUUUACAUGAACUUAAUCUACACCCGGGUGCUGAUGUAGAUUUACAUUUGAUUGUCUUGUGCAUAAACAAGGUCAGCUUUUGAAGAAGGUAAACUGUGCAAUGGACGGUCACAAACAACUCAUUACCUGCACAAUAUUGCUUUUUGAAGGCGACAUCAGUCAAUGUGGAUACACACAAACAAUGCAUACUCUUUGCAUUUGCUAACAUCUAUACGACACACUAAAACUUCGUGGUAAGGCCAAACCUUUUUAUUUUUCUAUUUUUUUUGUUUGUUUUUAAUUUUAAAGCAAAAAUAUACCGUAGUAAAAAAAUGUGCUCACAUUGUUUUUGAGUCCUUAAGUGGAAAAUAAACCUCUAUCACACUAGAAUAAAAUUUCUCUCUAUAAAAUUUAAAUACGGAUCACUUCGUCGCUCUAUCAAAAGGAAACGUCUGGCAAUCAUUUCCAGAUGAUCACAACAAGACAUGUCAAGAGGUCCUACUGCCUCUUCCUUGGAGAAAA
Coturnix japonica (Japanese quail) is the source of this 3925-nucleotide long non-coding RNA. RefSeq lists it as uncharacterized. The record is from RefSeq and is a predicted model, not a curated record. NCBI's taxonomy places the organism in Eukaryota, Metazoa, Chordata, Aves, Galliformes, Phasianidae.